This 497-nucleotide ribosomal RNA is filed under the name uncultured bacterium. RNAcentral's name for it is "partial 16S ribosomal RNA". It matches the Rfam family "Bacterial small subunit ribosomal RNA", at positions 28 to 507 of the family's 1533-position model. The record is from RNAcentral.
GAUGAACGCUGGCGGCGUGCCUAAUACAUGCAAGUCGAGCGAACGGACGAGAAGCUUGCUUCUCUGAUGUUAGCGGCGGACGGGUGAGUAACACGUGGAUAACCUACCUAUAAGACUGGGAUGACUUCGGGAAACCGGAGCUAAUACCGGAUAAUAUUUUGAACCGCAUGGUUCAAAAGUGAAAGACGGUCUUGCUGUCACUUAUAGAUGGAUCCGCGCUGCAUUAGCUAGUUGGUAAGGUAACGGCUUACCAAGGCAACGAUGCAUAGCCGACCUGAGAGGGUGAUCGGCCACACUGGAACUGAGACACGGUCCAGACUCCUACGGGAGGCAGCAGUAGGGAAUCUUCCGCAAUGGGCGAAAGCCUGACGGAGCAACGCCGCGUGAGUGAUGAAGGUCUUCGGAUCGUAAAACUCUGUUAUUAGGGAAGAACAUAUGUGUAAGUAACUGUGCGCAUCUUGACGGUACCUAAUCAGAAAGCCACGGCUAACUACGUG